RNAcentral lists this ribosomal RNA (253 nucleotides) under uncultured bacterium. RNAcentral describes it as "partial 16S ribosomal RNA". It matches the Rfam family "Bacterial small subunit ribosomal RNA", at positions 524 to 776 of the family's 1533-position model. The record is from RNAcentral.
UACGUAGGGGGCAAGCGUUGUUCGGAUUCAUUGGGCGUAAAGGGUGCGUAGGUGGUGGGGUAAGUCGGAUGUGAAAUCCCGGGGCUCAACCCCGGAACUGCAUUCGAUACUGCCUUGCUCGAGUACUGGAGAGGAGACUGGAAUUUACGGUGUAGCAGUGAAAUGCGUAGAUAUCGUAAGGAAGACCAGUGGCGAAGGCGAGUCUCUGGACAGUUACUGACACUGAGGCACGAAGGCCAGGGGAGCAAACGGG